GAUGAACGCUGGCGGCGUGCCUAAUACAUGCAAGUCGAGCGAACAGAUGAGGAGCUUGCUCCUCUGACGUUAGCGGCGGACGGGUGAGUAACACGUGGAUAACCUACCUAUAAGACUGGGAUAACUUCGGGAAACCGGAGCUAAUACCGGAUAAUAUAUUGAACCGCAUGGUUCAAUAGUGAAAGACGGUUUUGCUGUCACUUAUAGAUGGAUCCGCGCCGCAUUAGCUAGUUGGUAAGGUAACGGCUUACCAAGGCAAGGAUGCGUAGCCGACCUGAGAGGGAGAUCGGCCACACUGGAUGUGAGACACGGCCCAGACUCCUACGGGAGGCAGCAGCAGGGAAUCUUCCGCAAAGGGGGAAAGCCUGACGGAGCAAAGCCGGGGGAGUGAUGAAGGUCUCCGGAUCGGAAAACUCUGUUAUCAGGGAAGAACAAAUGUGUAAGUAACUAUGCACGUCUUGACGGUACCUAAUCAGAAAGCCACGGCUAACUACGUG
RNAcentral lists this ribosomal RNA (497 nucleotides) under uncultured bacterium. Its description in RNAcentral is "partial 16S ribosomal RNA". It matches the Rfam family "Bacterial small subunit ribosomal RNA", at positions 28 to 507 of the family's 1533-position model. The record is from RNAcentral.